CAGCAGCCGCGGUAAUACGAAGGGGGCUAGCGUUGUUCGGAAUCACUGGGCGUAAAGGGUGCGUAGGCGGAUUCUUAAGUCAGGGGUGAAAUCCCGAGGCUCAACCUCGGAACUGCCUUUGAUACUGGGGAUCUUGAGUCCGGAAGAGGUGAGUGGAACUGCGAGUGUAGAGGUGAAAUUCGUAGAUAUUCGCAAGAACACCGGUGGCGAAGGCGGCUCACUGGUCCGGAACUGACGCUGAGGCACGACAGCGUGGGGAGCAAACAGGAUUAGAUACCCCGGUAGUCCCUGUCUCUUAUAC
Molecule: ribosomal RNA, 301 nt
Filed under: uncultured bacterium
Lineage: Bacteria
Description: partial 16S ribosomal RNA
Rfam family: Bacterial small subunit ribosomal RNA
Source: RNAcentral